GGAGGAAAAGAAACUAACAAGGAUUCCCCUAGUAACGGCGAGUGAAGCGGGAUGAGCUCAAAUUUGAAAUCUGGCGGUCUAAGGCCGUCCGAGUUGUAAUCUAGAGAGGUGUUUUCCGUGCCGGACCGUGUACAAGUCCCUUGGAACAGGGCGUCAUAGAGGGUGAGAAUCCCGUCCAUGACACGGACUACCGGUGCUCUGUGAUACACCUUCAAAGAGUCGAGUUGUUUGGGAAUGCAGCUCAAAACGGGUGGUAAAUUCCAUCUAAAGCUAAAUACAGGCGAGAGACCGAUAGCGAACAAGUACCGUGAGGGAAAGAUGAAAAGAACUUUGGAAAGAGAGUUAAACAGUACGUGAAAUUGUUGAAAGGGAAACGCUUGAAGUCAGUCGCGUCCGCAGGGACUCAGCCUUGCUUUUGCUUGGUGCACUUCUCUGUGGAUGGGCCAGCAUCGAUUUUGGUCGCUGGAAAAGGGCGGGAGGAAUGUGGCAGCUUUUAGCUGUGUUAUAGCCUCUCGUCGUACACGGUGGCCGGGAUCGAGGACUGCAGCACGCCUUUGGUCGGGGUUCGCCCACGCCACGUGCUUAGGAUGCUGGCGUAAUGGCUUUAAACGACCCGUCUUGAAACACGGACC
This 632-nucleotide ribosomal RNA is filed under the name uncultured fungus. Its description in RNAcentral is "LSU rRNA". It matches the Rfam family "Eukaryotic large subunit ribosomal RNA", at positions 52 to 667 of the family's 3401-position model. The record is from RNAcentral. Lineage: Eukaryota; Fungi.